Non-coding RNA from Morone saxatilis (striped sea-bass), 74 nucleotides. The record is from the annotation of a RefSeq genome assembly. Lineage: Eukaryota; Metazoa; Chordata; Actinopteri; Moronidae.
GUUAAGAUGGCAUAGCCCGGGUUCUGCAAAAGAUCUAAGCCCUUUUUACAGAGGUUCAAAUCCUCUUCUUAACU